UGGGACUUGUUGGCCUGGAGGUACUGAAG
RNAcentral lists this non-coding RNA (29 nucleotides) under Rattus norvegicus (Norway rat). Lineage: Eukaryota; Metazoa; Chordata; Mammalia; Rodentia; Muridae. The record is from RNAcentral.